Molecule: long non-coding RNA, 863 nt
Filed under: Theobroma cacao (cacao)
Lineage: Eukaryota; Viridiplantae; Streptophyta; Magnoliopsida; Malvales; Malvaceae
Description: long non-coding RNA (TCAC_LNC005321)
Source: RNAcentral
AAUUCGAGAUACUUUGAUUCUUGAUCCUCAGAUACUACCUCUUUACUCUUGUCAGAAUGCUCACCACUUAGACAUAAUGCACAAUAAGCAAUUUGCUACAUUUGUGCUAAACCGUUGUAAAACCAAUUCAGGCUUUAUACUAAUGCAUGAAAUGGGAUGUGAAAUACUCGGGUAACUAUCUAAAUACGGUGUUAAAUAUAAAUUCAAUUGUGUACCUAAAUACAAUGGUAUUGGCCUAAUUCGAUCUAUCACCCGAUUAAUUGGCCAAUACGUCUAAUUCAACUCUAAACAAUUCCAUUUCUCUCCCAACACUCCAAAUCAUUAAAUACAAUUUAAAUAACUUGAAAUGUGGCAAAAUCAUCCUCACAUUUUCUCUUGAAAAUUUCGGCCAUGGUGAGUGCACUAACAAUAUAAUUUUUCGUGCUUGAUUCUCACACCAUAAAUCAUUCAUUCCUAAUCAAAUCACUUGAAAUUAAAUCAAAUUCAUCAUUAAUAUUCCACAUGGAAUAUUCGGCCAAUGAAGGUGAUGUAAGAACAUGAAUUUUUCUUGCUUGCUUUUCAUACUACACAUCACCAAACAACUAAAAACACUAGAAUAACAUGUUUUCUAAAUAAAUUCAUCAUCAAAUUCUCUCUCCUAAGGUUUGAACAGCACACUAUCCUUCAUGAUAUCUUGUGAUUCAACCAUGGAAAAUGCAAAAUAAUGCAUAGGAAAGGUAGAUCACAAGCUAGAAUUAAGAAAUUUUACCUUUAAUGGCUUGAUUCCUUGAAAUUUGGUGAAUUUCUCUUGAAUUUCUUAGCUAGGGUUUUGUUCUUCUUCUUUUCUUCCCUUUUCUUCCUUUGGCCGACCAAGAGAAAUGAGU